UUGGGCUCGGCUUGCGGAGAUUACGGCUGCCGCCCUUCACCCUCGCACACACCCGCUCCCAGAAAAAGGCCAGGUCUCGCUGUGCCUGUCCCUGCUGUGUGCUGGGGUGUUCCUUCUCUCGGCCUCUGCCCAGCUCCUGUUGCUGCCUGGGUAGGCGGGGAAGGCUCUUCGUGCGUUGGUCUCUUCAUCCCGCUCCUCCGCGGCUCCUGCUGAGCUCCAGCCUCUGCUGGCUGUCUCCGCUCAAUGCCCAAACAAGAUGCUGGAACCAGUUUUUCUUCUCUUCGAGGGCAUAAUAGGGGAGGAGAGAGACAGUGCAUAAAUGACAAGACAGAAACUGUAUUUCUGUUAGCCUAUAAAGCACUUGGAAGACAGCUUGCUUUGCUUCUCCACCAGGUAUCCUGCAUUCUGUUCACAUACAGGCAACUUGCAUUGAAUCACAGGUAAAAAUAUCAAGAACUGGCAAGAGCUGCGUGAGUAUUGAAGGAUGUCUUCGAUCUUAAAAGUAUUUGGGAGAGACGAUAAGGAGAAGGAGGAGAAGGAGAAGGAGAAGGAGAAGAAAAAGGAGAAAGAGAAGACAGAUGGAGACAAAAACAAAAAAAAGAAGAAAGAGAAAAAGCAUGAUGGACAAGAUGAUGACAGCAGCAGCAGCAGCAGCAGCAGCUCUGACAGUGAUUCUGAGAAGGGUAACAAGAAGAAAAAGAAGGGAAAAGACUAACUUUGUGGUAACCUACAAGCAACACCGGAGCAUCAGCAGGGCUUGCUUUUGGGCAUUUGAUAACAUUCUACCUGGAAGAAGAACAAGAAUUGUCUGAUUGUUACAUUCAAAAUAAAGCGUCUUUGUUGUAUUUUA
RNA transcript from Eublepharis macularius, 850 nucleotides. It is a transcript of the gene named protein FAM133-like, with no coding region annotated. The record is from RefSeq and is a predicted model, not a curated record. NCBI's taxonomy places the organism in Eukaryota, Metazoa, Chordata, Lepidosauria, Squamata, Eublepharidae. The transcript is spliced from 6 exons.